AUGCAUGAGGAGUUUGAUGCUUUGCAGGCCAACCAUACAUGGACCCUCGUACCUCAGCCUCGCGGUACCAACAUCGUGACAGGAAAGUGGGUUUUUCGACACAAGCUCAAACCUGAUGGUUCCCUGGAUCGCUACAAGGCUCGUUGGGUCGUACGAGGAUUCACUCAGCGUGCUGGUGUUGAUUUUGGAGAGACAUUUAGUCCUGUGGUGAAGCCUUCUACUGUCCGCACAAUGCUCCAUCUUGCCGCCUCACGUCAUUGGCCCGUUCAUCAAUUGGACGUCUCCAAUGCGUUUCUUCAUGGAGUACUAUAG
Molecule: ribosomal RNA, 312 nt
Filed under: Triticum aestivum (bread wheat)
Lineage: Eukaryota; Viridiplantae; Streptophyta; Magnoliopsida; Poales; Poaceae
Description: partial small subunit ribosomal RNA
Source: RNAcentral